CAAACCCUAGAGUUUAUUUCCACUGCACUACCCAAUUUCCUCCUCGCGUUCAAAGAGGCGAUUCUACAACUUGAGUUUCUCCUUCAACCAUGAGAGCUAAGUGGAAGAAGAAGCGUAUGAGGAGAUUGAAGAGGAAGCGCCGAAAGAUGAGGCAGAGAUCCAAGUAGAGGCAUCCGACGCGUCGUUUCUAGGGUUUCAUCGCCAUCUGUUUUUUCGAAUUUUGUUAUGUAGUGGAGUAUGACUCUUCUAAACUACAUGUUUUUUUGGAUCUACUUUUUAAUCAGUUGAGGGUUUCGUUUUUUAA
Long non-coding RNA from Salvia splendens (bonfire salvia), 304 nucleotides. RefSeq lists it as uncharacterized. Lineage: Eukaryota; Viridiplantae; Streptophyta; Magnoliopsida; Lamiales; Lamiaceae. The transcript has 2 exons. The record is from RefSeq and is a predicted model, not a curated record.